RNAcentral lists this ribosomal RNA (292 nucleotides) under uncultured bacterium. Its description in RNAcentral is "partial 16S ribosomal RNA". It matches the Rfam family "Bacterial small subunit ribosomal RNA", at positions 505 to 796 of the family's 1533-position model. The record is from RNAcentral.
GUGUCAGCAGCCGCGGUAAUACGGAGGGGGCUAGCGUUGUUCGGAAUUACUGGGCGUAAAGCGCACGUAGGCGGCUUUGUAAGUUAGAGGUGAAAGCCCAGGGCUUAACCCUGGAAUUGCCUUUAAGACUGCAUCGCUAGAAUCGUGGAGAGGUGAGUGGAAUUCCGAGUGUAGAGGUGAAAUUCGUAGAUAUUCGGAAGAACACCAGUGGCGAAGGCGACUCACUGGACACGUAUUGACGCUGAGGUGCGAAAGCGUGGGGAGCAAACAGGAUUAGAUACCCUCGUAGUCC